AGAGCGAACGCUGGCGGCAUGCUUAACACAUGCAAGUCGCACGGGCAGGGGCAACCCUGUCAGUGGCGGACGGGUGAGUAACGCGUAGGUAUCUAUCCUUGGGUGGGGGACAACCGUGGGAAACUACGGCUAAUACCGCAUGAUGACUGAGGUCCAAAGCCCGCGAGGGUGCCUGGGGAGGAGCCUGCGUACGAUUAGCUAGUUGGUGGGGUAAAGGCCUACCAAGGCGAUGAUCGUUAGCUGGUCUGAGAGGAUGAUCAGCCACAUUGGGACUGAGACACGGCCCAAACUCCUACGGGAGGCAGCAGUGGGGAAUAUUGGACAAUGGGCGCAAGCCUGAUCCAGCAAUGCCGCGUGUGUGAAGAAGGUCUUCGGAUUGUAAAGCACUUUCGACGGGGACGAUGAUGACGGUACCCGUAGAAGAAGCCCGGCUAACUUCGUGCCAGCAGCCGC
RNAcentral lists this ribosomal RNA (453 nucleotides) under uncultured bacterium. Its description in RNAcentral is "SSU rRNA". It matches the Rfam family "Bacterial small subunit ribosomal RNA", at positions 26 to 518 of the family's 1533-position model. The record is from RNAcentral.